AUGAAGGGGUGGGGUGCCAACCUGGGGCGUGAUCUUCCUGAAGGAAAGAAAUCCUUGUUGUCCGCCAUCCAGGCCCUGGACCUGUGCGCAGACGCAGUUGGCCUCUCACCUGAGGAGUGGCUCUCUAGGUACGACUUGGAAGACCAGCUCUCGGUCAUUUACACCGACGAGGAGGCCUACUGGCGCCUGCGCAGGGCCUAGAAAUGGGUCCUAAAAGGAGAUGCGAACACGGCCUACUUCCAGGCCAUAGCGAAUGGUCGGCGUCGUCGCAAUACCAUCCCCCUCCUUUGGGAUGGGGAUUCUCUGCUGUAGUCCCCCAGCGACAUUAGGGAUCAUGUCGACGGCUUUAUCAGCCCUUUUCUCUGCCCCCCCCCUUGGGGAGGCUUAUCUUUGGCCUUCGACUGCUGGCCCGACCGCCAGUGUGUCUCCGACAUGGAGAAUGCGGCCCUCACGGCUCCCUUCUCCGAGGGCGAGGACUAGGAUGCCAUCCGCGGCAUGAAUCCUUCCUCGGCCCCUGGCCCUGAUGGCCUCCCAGUGAAAUUCUUCCAGACUUUCUGGAACGUGAUCAAACCGGAGAUCAUGGCCAUUUUCGACGAGUUCUAUGUUGGAGCCAUCAAUCUCGGGCGCCUCAACUACGGGAUCAUCUCGUUGAUCACGAAAGUUCCGGGCGCCGAUAUUCGUCAGUUCCGUCCUAUCACGGUCAUCAACGUGAUUUUUUGGAUUCUGGCCAAAGGGUACACCAAUAGGGUGACCCUCCUCGCCGACCAGAUUACCCACCCCAACCAGUCCGCCUUCAUUAAGGGGCGGUAUAUCCUGGAUGGGGUGCUAGUUCUCCAUGAAGUCCUCCAUGAGGUGCGGUCUAAACACAUCAAGGGGGUUUUCUUGAAGAUUGAUUUCCAUAAGGCCUACGACACGGUUAGUUGGCCCUUCCUUCGGGAAGUUUUGCUCCGAAAGGGCUUUGAUGACCAUUGGAUCUCCAGAGUGAUGCAGAUGGUCUCUUGCGGCCGCACCGCCGUGAACAUCAAUGGGGAGAUCGGCCCUUACUUCCCCACCUUCUGUGGGGUAAGGCAAGGCGAUCCCUUCUCCCCAUUCUUGUUCAAUAUGGCUGUAGACGCGCUUGCCGCCAUCUUGGAUAAGGAUAAAGCUGCUGGCCAUAUCCAUGGGAUCACUCCCCACCUGGCUGGCAGCUCCGGGAUCUCCCUUCUCUAG
Molecule: ribosomal RNA, 1209 nt
Filed under: Triticum aestivum (bread wheat)
Lineage: Eukaryota; Viridiplantae; Streptophyta; Magnoliopsida; Poales; Poaceae
Description: partial small subunit ribosomal RNA
Source: RNAcentral